UGGGUUUGAUCCUGGCUCAGGGUUAAGGCUAUACUUAGGCUUAACACAUGCGAGUGCUUGCAUUUUUGCAAGUGCAAACGGGUGAGGAAAUACCACAAGAUCACUGCAUAAUAGGAUACCUGAAAAAUCUUAAAUGUUUUCAAAGUUCUCAACCUAUGAGAUGUACUUGUGGAAGAUUAGGUUGUUGGUGUGAUAGUGCGCACCAUGCCUACGAUCUUUAGCUGGUCUGAGAGGAUGAUCAGCCACACUGGGACUGAGACAAGGCCCAGGCUUCUUUUGAAGCCAGCAGUGAGGAAUAUUGGACAAUGCACAAGAUUGCGAUCCAGCCAUAAGUAGGGAAGGAUUGAAGACUCCUUGAGGUUGUAAACUUCUACAGCAUGCAUCAAAAUGACAUAUGCAUGUGGAUUAGCUCCGGCCAACUUCGUGCCAGCAGCCGCGGUUAGACGAUGGGAGCGAGCCUUAUCCGUAAUGACUGGGCGUAAAGCGUUCGUAGAUGGUUAAAAAUUCUUGAUUACAAAAGCCUUGCUUUUAAGAGUUGAAGGUUUAUCAAAAGAGUUUAACUGGAGGAAAAAAGAGGAUGCUUGAAUUUUGCAAGGAGGGAUGGUAUCCAGAGAGCUGCAAAGGAAGACCAUUUGGCAAUGGCGGGUAUCUGGUUUUUUUGCUAACAUUGGGGAACGAAAGCGUGGGGAGCAAACAGGAUUAGAGACCCUGGUAGUCCACGCCCUCAAAUCUGGGUGCUAAGGGAUAAAAUUUAUUUAUGCAGAUAAAGCUAAGGCGUGAAGCACCCCGCCGGAGUAGUACGACCGCAAGGUUGAAACUCAAAGGAAUUGACGGGGGUCUAUACAAGUGGUGGAACAUGUGGUUUAAUGCGAUAAUACGCGCCCAACCUUACCAGUUCUUGAAUGAGUGCGGAGUAAUUUCCGUACAACAGGUGUUGCAUGGCUGUCGUCAGCUCGUGUUGUAAGAUGUUUGGUUAAGUCCCUUAACGAGCGCAACCUCUAUAUGCGUUUAAAUAGGUCUUCCUAUAACUGCUUAAACUGCCCACAAUAAAUGGGAGGAAGGUGGAGAUGACGCCAAGUCCUUAUGGCCCCUAUGAACUGGGCUACACACGUGUUACAAUGGGAAAAACAAAGAGAAAUGCCGAAAGAAGUCAAGCUUUAACUUUUCCCAAUGUUCGGAUUGAAUGCUGCAACUUGCAAUCAUGAAGGUGGAAUCACUAGUAAUCGUGGAUCAGGAUGCCACGGUGAAUUUGUACCUGGACCUUGUACACACCGCCCGUCACAUGCUGGGAGUGCAUUUGGCUAGAAGGAUGAGAACACGACACCCAAAAAGUUUUUUGGUGUUGUCCUCCUACGACGGACAGAUGUAUAACUGGGAUGAAGUCGUAACAAGGUAGUCGUACGGGUACGUGCGGCUG
This 1417-nucleotide ribosomal RNA is filed under the name metagenome. RNAcentral describes it as "bacterial SSU rRNA". It matches the Rfam family "Bacterial small subunit ribosomal RNA". The record is from RNAcentral.